GAUGAACGCUGGCGGCGUGCCUAAUACAUGCAAGUCGAGCGAACAGACGAGGAGUUUGCUCCUCUGACGUUAGCGGCGGACGGGUGAGUAACACGUGGAUAACCUACCUAUCAGACUGGGAUAACUUCGGGAAACCGGCGCUAAUACCGGAUAAUAUAUUUAACCGCAUGGUUCAAUAGUGAAAUACGGUUUUGCUGUCACUUAUAGAUCGAUCCGCGCCGCAUUAGCUAGUUGGUAAGGUAACGGCUUACCAAGGCAACGAUGCGUAGCCGACCUGAGAGGGUGAUAGGCCACACUGGAACUGAGACACGGUCCAGACUACUACGGGAGGCAGCAGUAGGGAAUCUUCCGCAAUGGGCGAAAGCCUGACGGAGCAACGCCGCGUGAGUGAUGAAGGUCUUGGGAUCGUAAAACUCUGUUAUUAGGGAAGAACAAAUGUGUAAGUAAAUAUGCACGUAUUGACGGUACCUAAUCAGAAAGCCACGGCUAACUACGUG
This 497-nucleotide ribosomal RNA is filed under the name uncultured bacterium. RNAcentral describes it as "partial 16S ribosomal RNA". It matches the Rfam family "Bacterial small subunit ribosomal RNA", at positions 28 to 507 of the family's 1533-position model. The record is from RNAcentral.